UACGCAAGAGACUAGUGUUAUUCAUCUUAAAUAGGUUUAAAGGGUACCCAGGCAGUAAAAAUACCAGAAAUGGGAUUAUUUUACUAGAGUUUAAUAUAAGGAGGUCGUACUGAGAGGAAGAGAGAUAAAAUUCCGUCAUACCAACGGGGACUGAUAAAGGCGAAAGCAACCUUUUAUGUAAAAACUGACGCUGAAGGACGAAGGCACAUAGAACAAAAAAGG
This 222-nucleotide ribosomal RNA is filed under the name uncultured bacterium. RNAcentral's name for it is "partial 16S ribosomal RNA". It matches the Rfam family "Bacterial small subunit ribosomal RNA", at positions 524 to 777 of the family's 1533-position model. The record is from RNAcentral.